RNAcentral lists this ribosomal RNA (871 nucleotides) under uncultured Bacillota bacterium. Its description in RNAcentral is "bacterial SSU rRNA". It matches the Rfam family "Bacterial small subunit ribosomal RNA", at positions 1 to 840 of the family's 1533-position model. The record is from RNAcentral. Lineage: Bacteria; Bacillati; Bacillota.
UGGAUCCAGACUUUGAUUAUGGCUCAGGAUGAACGCUGGCGGCGUGCCUAAUACAUGCAAGUCGAACGAAACUUCUUUAUCACCGAGUGCUUGCACUCACCGAUAAAGAGUUGAGUGGCGAACGGGUGAGUAACACGUGGCAACCUGCCCAAAAGAGGGGGAUAACACUUGGAAACAGGUGCUAAUACCGCAUAACCAUAGUUACCGCAUGGUAACUAUGUAAAAGGUGGCUAUGCUACCGCUUUUGGAUGGGCCCGCGGCGCAUUAGCUAGUUGGUGGGGUAAAGGCUUACCAAGGCAAUGAUGCGUAGCCGAACUGAGAGGUUGAUCGGCCACAUUGGGACUGAGACACGGCCCAAACUCCUACGGGAGGCAGCAGUAGGGAAUCUUCCACAAUGGGCGAAAGCCUGAUGGAGCAACGCCGCGUGGGUGAAGAAGGUCUUCGGAUCGUAAAACCCUGUUGUUAGAGAAGAAAGUGCGUGAGAGUAACUGUUCACGUUUCGACGGUAUCUAACCAGAAAGCCACGGCUAACGACGUGCCAGCAGCCGCGGUAAUACGUAGGUGGCAAGCGUUAUCCGGAUUUAUUGGGCGUAAAGGGAACGCAGGCGGUCUUUUAGGUCUGAUGUGAAAGCCUUCGGCUUAACCGGAGUAGUGCAUUGGAAACUGGGAGACUUGAGUGCAGAAGAGGAGAGUGGAACUCCAUGUGUAGCGGUGAAAUGCGUAGAUAUAUGGAAGAACACCAGUGGCGAAAGCGGCUCUCUGGUCUGUAACUGACGCUGAGGUUCGAAAGCGUGGGUAGCAAACAGGAUUAGAUACCCUGUAGUCCACGCCGUAAACGAUGAAUGCUAAGUGUUGGAGGGUUUCCGCCCUU